Molecule: long non-coding RNA, 7989 nt
Filed under: Ananas comosus (pineapple)
Lineage: Eukaryota; Viridiplantae; Streptophyta; Magnoliopsida; Poales; Bromeliaceae
Description: long non-coding RNA (ACOM_LNC012557)
Source: RNAcentral
UGUGGUUUGGUAGUUUCUCACUUUGCCCCCCUGUGGUUUAAAGUGUAUCAAUUUGCCUCCUGUGGUUUCGUUUUUAUCUUUUCGGUAGCUUUUUCGUUAAUAUUUCAUUAAAUUAUAUACAAAAAAACUUCAGAUAUCCACCUAGAUUUAUCAAAUAUUCACUUUAGUACCCUUUAAUUUUAACUUUAUUACUGAUUUAAAGAAAAAAAAUAAUAAUGAAAUUGAUAAGAAAAAGAGAAAAAAGAAACCACAGGGGGGCAAAGUGAGAAACUACGAAACCACAGGGGGGUUUUUGAAGUUUUUCCUUAUAUUUUGUUAGCACGCUCUUCAUAUAAGCCAGACUCUUUAAUACCGAGUUAAUUUGUGAAAUUGUUUGUAGAAUCAAGAGCAAUCGUGAGGUACUAUGGUGCCAAGUACGUAGGGAAAGGACCGAACCUAUUAGGUCGAACACUCGAGGAGAAGGCUCGGGUCGAUCAAUGGCUCGAUGCGGAGGCCAUCAACUACAAUCCCUUGGUGUUCCCUAUAGUCUUCAACCUUUUCGUGCUUCCCCGCAGUGGUGUUCCCGGAAAUAAGGCCGAGGCCGAGGCUGCCGUCGAGAAGCUCGACAAGGUGCUCGAGAUUUACGAGCGACAGCUAUCGAAGACCAAGUACUUAGCUGGAAAUGAAUUUACUCUAGCCGAUCUAACUCACAUUCCAGCCACACGGUACAUUAUUGAAAACUUGAAGAGCGCAUAACUUUAUAAUUUGAUUAGACUAGGAUAGGCGACUAACCUCUUUCUAUUUGCAAUUUGACCUACGAACUUUAAUUGAUGCAAAAUUGCGCAUAACUUGCUUUUAGUUUCAAAUUGAUCAACAAAGUUGGAGUCGAUAAGAAAGAAAUCAGUAGUUAUCUAAUUAAUGUCGCAUAUUAGUUACGGUGCAUAAAAUUCUUCUUGCAUCAAAAUAGAUUUUAGUGGCUAAGUUAUUAAUUUCCAGUUUCCGCCAAUCCAAAUCUAGUAAACUAAGAAAAAUAGUGAGUUCUCUUGGCACCAAAUUAGAGAUUGUUGGGUCAAAAUGCAAUGUGAGAUAAAAUAAGUGGAUUUUUAAAAAAAAGUUUCACCUCCUAUUAUAUUAUGUGUAGUAUUCUUUCUUGCAUGUUAGAAUUAUAAGAGGGGGAGUUAAAAUCCUUGCUAUGAUAUCAAGUAAAUUUGAGUACAAGGCCUUAAAAUUUUACUUUAAAUAUUUUUAUAUUUAACACUUUUCUUCAUAUCUGGACUUGUGACUUUUUGCUCAGCCCAUGACAUGGACUUAAAUUAAAUAAUAAUGCUAAGAGUCUGGCGUGACUUGAACUUAGAAUUUUCUGCUCUAAUAUCACGUUAAAUAAUACGAAACAAUCAUUGUACUUUAAAAACUUAAGUUGAUAGAGAACUGUGUUUAAAUAUUUUUAUAUUUAACAUUUUAUAGGUAUCUAGUCGAGAACUGCAAUAUGGAUCACCUAAUUACUGGGAAGAAGCAUGUAAAGGCGUGGUGGGAGGACAUCACCAGCCGACCGGCGUGGAAGAAGACAAUGAGCUUUGUGGAAUCCAGGGUUUCACACUUUUAUCCAUGAGGAUUAGUACAACAAAAAAUUAUAGAUUAAUAAAUUUAAGUUUGAUCAUCGUCAUCUAAUAAAAUUAUGUGUAUGGAGGAGAUCUAUGCAAGAUGCAUAAUUUCACAAUAUAAUGAUGCGUUUAAAUGUUUAUGAAUGUACGAUUCCCCACUGGUUUUUUAUUUAGUUUUUGUUUGAAGUGUCAAAUGAGUUUUUUUUUUUUUUACGGCUUUGAUAGUGUGUCAAAUAGAUUCGUAAAUUUUUAAUUUUGAUAACUAAAUUUUUGGAACUUCGUCAAAUAAUCCGACAAAUCCUUCUUCUCAGGCAAAAUCAUUAAUUAAACAGCCACUCUCGACACAAUCUUAUACGUAGAAUUGUCAAAUAGAAUUACUAAAUAUAUGAUUCUCUAACAACUUAAGUUUUUGAUUAAAAAUAAAUAUUUCAUAUAAUUAAACAUGAUAUCAAAAUAGGGGUAUGAGUUCGAGUCGCACCAAAUGUUUCAUAUAAUUUAACAAAAUUUUUGUAUAAUUUUUAAAGCAUGUUGAAAUAUGUCUUUUAUAUUCUAACACUUAAAAGCCAUUUAUCUUAGGAAAAACUUCAAAAACCCCCCCUGUGGUUUCGUGCAUUCUCACUUUGCUACCCUGUGGUUUAAAACGUAUCAAUUUGCCCCCAUGUGGUUUCGUUUUUAUCUUUUUGUUAUCAAUUUUAUUAUUAUUAUUUUUUUAAAUCAGUGACAAAGUUAAAAUUAAAGGAUACUAAAGUGACUAUUCGAUAAAUAUAGAUGGUUAUCUGAAGUUUUUUGUAUAUAAUUUAACGAAAUAUUAACGAAAAAGCUUUCGAAAAGAUAAAAAUGAAACCACAGGGGGGUAAAUUAAUACGUUUUAAACCACAGGGUAGCAAAGUAAGAAUGCACGAAACCACGGGGGGUUUUGAAGUUUUCCCUUUAUUUAUUUUUUCAUCAUGAUAAAUUUAUUUCUUCUGUGACAAGAGAAGAACCAUUAGGGCUCCUACCCAAGUCCAUUGUCCGAGGGUCUAGCAACCCUUGGACAGCGGCCCAACGGCUCAAUUAGCCGUUGGUUGAGUCCUUUUUUUUUUUUUUUUUUUGUCUUUCCUGAAAAAAAAAAUAUUUUAUUAUUACUUUUUUAAAAAAUGGGUUCAAAAAUUAAAAAAAGAUGUUUUUUUUAAUUAAAAUGACCACAAUGCCCUCACUAAUAUUAAAAAAUUUGACCGUUAGAGAUGGCAUUUUGGUCAAAAACUAAAAAAUAUUUUUUUAUAUUUUUUUAAAACUAUUUUUUAUAUCUAUAAAUACUACUACAAACAUCAAAAUUCAUCACAACAAAUAACUCUUCAUUCAUUUUCUUCUACAAACACUAAUUCCUCCCACUCUUAAACUUUCAAUCUAAAAUUUUUUCUCUCUCAAUUCUCAAGUUUACUUUGCAAAUAUUUUUAAUUUUUUCCAACAAUUUUUUUUUACAAAGUCUCUCCACAAUUUCACAAUACAAAAUUUUAUUUUCAACACAUAAUUAAUCUCUUUUUAAAAAAAAAUUUAUUUAAUUAUUUUUAGUAUUAUUGUGUUUAUUUUUUAUAAUAAUAUUCGAUGAAUUUUUUCAUAUACAUUUUUCUUGCACUGAUUAUACUCCUGAGUAUUAUAUUAGUAAUCAAUCAGAAACUGGAGUCGGUGGUUCUACACAAGGUGGCGACAGCUCGCAACCUAAACCAAAUUUAGACACAAGUUCUAACAAAGCGUCUAAACGAAGAACAAGUGUAAUAUGGAAGUACUUCAAAAUCAAAGAAGUUGAAGGACAAGACAGGUGAGCUGUUUGUACUAUAUGUAGGCAUUAUUAUUCUUGUGAUAAUUCUGGUAGAACAGAUCAUCUUAACAGACAUAUACAGAAACAUCAGAUAAGAGAAGGUAAAGAGACAAAAUAAUCAGAAUUUGCUUUUACUUCUAGUAAAGUUAAUACAUUUCAAUAUUCUCAUAAACGUAAUAGAAGAGAACUUACAUUAUACAUUAUAGGAGCUGAACAAUCAUAUAUACAUUUGUCGAAUGUCCAUAUUUUGAACACUAUAUGAAAACAGUUUUAAAUCCUGCAUAUAAAAAAACUUCUCGAAAUACUAGUCGCAAAGAUUCAAUAAAAGCAUUUCUUGAAUAUAUACAAAAUUUGAUUUCAAUUUUAGAAAAUUUAAAUUCAAAAAUUUCACUCACUUUCGAUAUUUGGAUAUCAAGAAAUGAACAUAGUUUUAUAUGUGUUAUGUACAGGAUUGAUUCUAAUUGGAUAUUACAAAAAUGAAUUAUUGGUUUUCAAAAACUUGAGUUUCUAUAUAAUGGUAUUCAUAUUGCUCAGGUAAUUAAAAUGUUUUGCAAAUUUAUAACAUUAGCCAAAAAAAACUUUUAAUUAGUUUCGAUAAUGCUAGCAAUAAUAGAACCGCAGUUCAAAUUUUGAAAAAUAAUUUGCAUUCUGAAAUGAAAAAUUAUUGUAUAAUAAAUGUGCAUGUCAUAUUAUAAAUUUGUAUGUUUAUGAGGGAUUAAAAAUAAUUAUUCCACAAAUUAAAAAAUUAAAAGAUUAUAUUAUAUUUAUUCAUAGUUUUUGUUCAAGAAAUAAGAUUUUAAAAGUUUAUGUAAACAGUUUGGCCAAAAAUAUAAAAAAUUUAUUUUUGAUGUUCAACAUCGAUAGAAUUCCACAUAUAAAAUGUUGCAAUAUUAUUAUGAGUAUAGAAAUAUUUUAUUUAUUUUUUGUAAUGAGAAAAUACAGCAUAACUUCUAUAAUGAAGAAUGAAACAUUAAACAAAUUCUUAUGAUUUUUUUUGCAACCAUUUUAUAAGUCAACCAAACCAAGUAUUUGAAAUAGGAUUAUGCUGCAUAACAAUAUGAGUCAAAAAAAUUAUAAGAAUUUGUUUAAUGUCUUAUUCUUCAUUAGUUAUGAAAUUAUUCUGCAUUUUCUCAUUACAAAAAAUAGAUAAAGUAUUUCUAUACUCAUAACAAUAUUGCAAUAUUUUAUAUGUAGAAUUCUAUCGAUGUUGAACAGCAAAAAUAAAUUUUUUAUAUUUUUGGCCUAACUGUCUACAUAAACUUUUAAAAUCUUAUUUUUUUGGACAAAAACUAUGAAUAAAUAUAAUAUAAUCUUUUAAUUUUUUAAUUUGUGGAAUAAUUAUUUUUAAUCCCUCGUGAACACACAAAUUUAUAAUAUGACAUACACAUUUAUUAUAUAAUAAUUUUUCAUUACAGAAUGCAAAUUAUUUUUCAAAAUUUGAACUGCGGUUCUAUUAUUGCUAGCAUUAUCGAAACUAAUUGAAAUUUUUUUUUUGGCUAAUGUUAUAAAUUUGCAAAAUAUUUUCAAUCACCUGAGCAAUAUGAAUACCAUUAUAUAGAAACUCAAGUUCUUGAAAACCAAUAAUUCAAUUUUGUAAUAUCCAAUUAAAAUCAAUCCAAUGUACAUAACACAUAUAAAACUAUGUUCAUUUCUUGAUGUCCAAAUAUCGAAAGUGAGUGAAAUUUUUGAAUUCAAAUUUUUUAAAAUUGAAAUCAAAUUUUGUCUAUAUUCAAGAAAUGCUUUUAUUGAAUCUUUGCGACUAGUAUUUCGAGAAGUUUUUUUAUAUGCAGGAUUUAAAACUGUUUUCAUAUAGUGUUCAAAAUAUGGACAUUCGGCAAAUGUAUAUAUAAUUGUUCAGCUCCUAUAAUGUAUAAUGUAAGUUCUCUUCUAUUACGUUUAUGAGACUAUUGAAAUGUAUUAACUUCACUAGAAGUAAAAGCAAAUUCUGAUUAUUUUGUCUCUUUACCUUCUUUUACCUGAUGUUUCUGUAUAUGUCUGUUAAGAUGACCUGUUCUACCAUAACUAUCACAAAAAUAAUGAAGCCUACAUAUAGUACAAACAGCUCACCUGUCUUGGCCUUCAACUUCUUUGAUUUUGAAGUACUUCCAUACUGCACUUGUUCUUCGUUUAGACGCUUUGUUAGAAUUUGUGUCUAAAUUUGGUUUAGGUUGCGAGCUGUCGCCACCUUGUGUAGAACCACUGACUCCAGUUUCUGAUUGAUUACUAAUAUAAUACUCAGGAGUAUAAUCAGUGCAAGAAAAAUCUAUAUGAAAAAAUUCAUCCAAUAUUAUUAAAAAAUAAACACAAUAAUACUAAAAAUAAUUAAAUAAAUUUUUUUUUUAAAAAAAGAGAUUAAUUAUGUGUUGAAAAUAAAAUUUUGUGUUGUGAAAUUGUGGAGAGACUUUGUAAAAAAAAAUUGUUGGAAAAAAUUAAAAAUAUUUGCAAAGUAAACUUGAGAAUUGAGAGAGAAAAAAUUUUAGAUUGAAAGUUUAAGAGUGGGAGGAAUUAGUGUUUGUAGAAGAAAAUGAAUGAAGAGUUAUUUGUUGUGAUGAAUUUUGAUGUUUGUAGUAGUAUUUAUAGAUAUAAAAAAUAGUUUUAAAAAAAUAUAAAAAANNNNNNNNNNNNNNNNNNNNNNNNNUGGGCCCGCCGUCCAAGGGUCUGGCGGUCUGCCAGAACCUUGGACAGUGGACUUGGGUGGGAGCCCUAAAGGCUAGGCCUACCUACCCUACCCUUUUAUAGGCCUGGCUAAGUCAAGCCAUAUAGGCCUGGCAUUGCCAGGCCUAACUUUGAACUUGAAAUUAGCGGAUCGUGCCGGCCCGGCAGGCACGGCCCAUACGGGUCGUGUCGUGCCGGGCUGCGGGUCGAACCCUCGGCCCGACACGGUCAAGACCCAACACGUGCCGUGCCGAGCCGGGGCGACGGGCCGCAAAAUUUCGGCCCGACUCGUCACGACCCGCAUAUCCGGGCCGGGCCGGACCGGUACGGUUGCUACAAUAACCAUUCCAGGUCAUUACUGUAGCAAUCGCGACGGUGGGCAACCCGACCCGUUUUACACCCUUGCAUUCGAGUCUGCUUUUAGUACAGGUGAUAGAAUAUUGGAUGAUUAUAAAAUCCGAUUUAACGAGAAUGCGAUCGAGAUUUUAGUCUGCUUAAACUAUUGGCGAGCUGCAGAUGAAACAGAAUCAAAUACCUAAAAAUAUACCAACACUUGCGACAUGCUAGAGUACAAUCGUCCUGAUCUCUUCACUAUUGUCUAUUAGUCAUUGCGGCUCUUCUUUUUUAUUUAGUACCACUCUUUACUAGGUGUCUUUUUUUUAAGUGAAAAAUGAUGUAAUGAAGAAAAAAAAUUAUAUUUGAUUUUUUUUUCUCUACUGUUUGCUAAUUGAUUGUAUAAAUAAUAUUAUAUUAUUUUAAAUAUAUUUUAAAUUUUUUAAAAUUUUGUACUUUUUUCUAUGUAAUUAUAUAAUAUGAUUAAUUCAAAUCUUUAUAUAUUUUUUGUAAUUAUUUUUUUAAAUAUCAAUUUCUCUUCAAAUAAUAAAAAAUUAUUAAAAAUAUUUAAUAAAAGAGUUUUUAAAAGGUUGGGUAUAAUUGUGUAAAUUAAACACUAUAAGUCAAAAAUUUAUAAUUUAAACUCUUUUUUAAAAAAAUUUUAAAAAUACAUAUUUUAUGUAAUAUGGUUAAUACAAACUUUAUAUAUUUUUUGUAAUUAUUUUUUUAAAUAUCAAUUUCUCUUCAAAUAAUAAAAAAUUAUUAAAAAUAUUUAAUAAAAGAGUUUUUAAAAGGUUGGGUAUAAUUGUGUAAAAUAAAAACUAUAAGUCAAAUUUAUAAUUUAAAAAAAUCUAUCUCUUUUUCUGAAAAAAAAAAUAUUUCUUGAAAAAACUGAGUGAAGGAAUUUUUGUGAAAAAUCUGGCGGCACGGCACGGCACGGCCCGUGCUAGGCGUGCCGGGGGGCCGCGCUGGAUUAAUAGACGCGUCAGACAGUGCCGAUCCUUGACCCGAAGUGGCCUGAAAAAUGUGGGUCGUGCCGCCAGUCGCGGUCCACAUUACAUCCCUAGUCCAACUCCAACAUCUCCAAAACAACAAAAAAAAAUUGCUGGUGUGGUAAGCUGGGUUCACUUAAGAUAAAAACGUAUGGAAUAUGAAUCAGAGAGCCCUCAAUUUAUAUUUAUAUCAUUAUUAUCCACUGAGCCCUCAAUCCAUAUCAUUAUCCACAUUUUUAUAUCAAAUCCUGACACGGAUUUAGAUAUUGAUCCCAUAUUUAAAUUAAUAUUUAAAUUCAGUUAUUAAAUUGGCACAAAUAUGAAUAAAAUAUUUUUAAAAUAUAUAAAGGUAAAAGAAAAAAAAGAGAAAACUUAAAAAAAACCCCUGUGGUUUCGUAGUUUCUCACUUUGCCCUCCUGUGAUUUAAAAUGUAUCAAUUUGCCUCCAUGUGGUUUCGUUUUUAUCUUUUGCGGUAGCUUUUUCGUUAAUAUUUCAUUAAAUUAUAGACAAAAAACUUCAGAUACCCAUCUAGAUUUAUUAAAUAUUUAUUUUAGUACCCUUUAAUUUUAACUUUAUCACUGAUUUAAGAAAAAAAAAUAAUGAAAUUGAUAAGAAAAAGAGAAAAAAAAAA